This is a non-coding RNA of Oncorhynchus mykiss (rainbow trout), 485 nucleotides long. The record is from RefSeq and is a predicted model, not a curated record. NCBI's taxonomy places the organism in Eukaryota, Metazoa, Chordata, Actinopteri, Salmoniformes, Salmonidae.
ACUGCAGGUAGGAGAGAGACUGGCCCUCAGACUACAGGUAGGAGAGAGACUGGCCCUCAGACUACAGGUAGGAGAGAGACUGGCCCUCAGACUACAGGUAGGAGAGAGACUGGCCCUCAGCGGACUACAGGUAGGAGAGAGACUGGCCCUCAGCGGACUACAGGUAGGAGAGAGAGACUGGCCCUCAGACUACAGGUAGGAGAGAGACACUGGCCCUCAGCGGACUACAGGUAGGAGAGAGAGACUGGCCCUCAGCGGACUACAGGUAGGAGAGAGACUGGCCCUCAGACUACAGGUAGGAGAGAGACUGGCCCUCAGACUACAGGUAGGAGAGAGACUGGCCCUCAGCAGACUACAGGUAGGAGAGAGACUGGCCCUCAGACUACAGGUAGUUGAGAGAAUGGCCCUCAGACUACAGGUAGGAGAGAGGGAGGCGGAACGGAGACAGACGGCGAAAAAGAAAGCACCACAAUGACAGUGUGGAU